CAGCCGCCGCGGUAAUACGGAGGGUCCGAGCGUUAUCCGGAAUUAUUGGGUUUAAAGGGUCCGCAGGCGGGCAAUUAAGUCAGGGGUGAAGUGGUACGGCUCAACCGUAGCACUGCCCUUGAUACUGGUUGUCUUGAGUCAUAGUGAAGUGGCCGGAAUAUGUAGUGUAGCGGUGAAAUGCAUAGAUAUUACAUAGAACACCGAUUGCGAAGGCAGGUCACUAACUAUCGACUGACGCUGAUGGACGAAAGCGUGGGGAGCGAACGGGAUUAGAUACCCCGGUAGUCCACGCCGUAAACGAUGGAUACUAGCUGUCCGCUGCCUUGAGCAGUGGGCGGCCCAGCGAAAGUGAUAAGUAUCCCACCUGGGGAGUACGUUCGCAAGAAUGAAACUCAAAGGAAUUGACGGGGGCCCGCACAAGCGGUGGAGCAUGAGGGUUAAUUCGAUGAUACGCGAGGAACCUUACCAGGGCUUAAAUGCAUAAUGACAGGUCUAGAGAUAGACUUUUCUUCGGACAUUUUGCAAGGUGCUGCAUGGUUGUCGUCAGCUCGUGCCGUGAGGUGUCAGGUUAAGUCCUAUAACGAGCGCAACCCCUGCCGUCAGUUGCCAGCAAGUAAAGUUGGGGACUCUGACGGGACUGCCGGUGCAAACCGCGAGGAAGGUGGGGACGACGUCAAAUCAUCACGGCCCUUACGUCCUGGGCUACACACGUGCUACAAUGGCCGGUACAGCGAGCAGCCACUCCGCAAGGAGGAGCGAAUCUAUAAAACCGGUCACAGUUCGGAUCGGGGUCUGCAACUCGACCCCGUGAAGCUGGAAUCGCUAGUAAUCGGAUAUCAGCCAUGAUCCGGUGAAUACGUUCCCGGGCCUUGUACACACCGCCCGUCAAGCCAUGGAAGCCGGGAGUGCCUGAAGUCCGUCACCGUAAGGAGCGGCCUAGGGCAAAAUCGGUAACUAGGGCUAAGUCGUAACAAGGUAGCCGUA
Molecule: ribosomal RNA, 984 nt
Filed under: uncultured bacterium
Lineage: Bacteria
Description: bacterial SSU rRNA
Rfam family: Bacterial small subunit ribosomal RNA
Source: RNAcentral